RNAcentral lists this ribosomal RNA (397 nucleotides) under uncultured archaeon. Its description in RNAcentral is "bacterial SSU rRNA". It matches the Rfam family "Archaeal small subunit ribosomal RNA", at positions 474 to 871 of the family's 1478-position model. The record is from RNAcentral.
UACCAGCCCCCUGAGUGGUAGGGACGAUUAUUUGGCCUAAAGCGUCCGUAGCCGGCUUGGCAAGUCUUUCGUUAAAUCCGACGAUUUAAUCGCCGGGCCGCGGAAGAUACUACUAGGCUUGAGGACGGGAGAGGUUGACGGUAGUCCCAGGGUAGGGGUGAAAUCCUAUAAUCCUGGGAGGACCACCAGUGGCGAAGGCGGUCGACUAGAACGUGCCUGACGGUGAUGGACGAAAGCUGGGGGAGCGAACCGGAUUAGACACCCGGGUAGUCCCAGCUGUAAACGAUGCGGGCUAGGUGUUGGGGUAGCUACGAGCUACUCCAGUGCCGCAGAGAAGUCGUUAAGCCCGCCGCCUGGGAAGUACGGCCGCAAGGCUGAAACUCAAAUGAAUUGACGG